This 328-nucleotide ribosomal RNA is filed under the name uncultured eukaryote. RNAcentral's name for it is "partial 18S ribosomal RNA". It matches the Rfam family "Eukaryotic small subunit ribosomal RNA", at positions 1470 to 1796 of the family's 1831-position model. The record is from RNAcentral.
CCCUUAGAUGUCCUGGGCCGCACGCGCGUUACACUGAUGCAUUCAACGAGCUUAUAACCAUGGCCGAGAGGCCUGGGCAAUCUUGUUAACGUGCAUCGUGAUAGGGAUAGAUUAUUGAAAUUAUUAAUCUUGAACGAGGAAUUCCUAGUAAACGCAGAUCAUCAAUCUGCAUUGAUUACGUCCCUGCCCUUUGUACACACCGCCCGUCGCACCUACCGAUUGGAUGGUCCGGUGAAGCCUCGGGAUUGUGGUUCUUGCCGCUUUAUUGUGGCGUGACCGCGAGAACUUGUCUAAACCUUAUCAUCUAGAGGAAGGUGAAGUCGUAACA